This 253-nucleotide ribosomal RNA is filed under the name uncultured bacterium. RNAcentral's name for it is "partial 16S ribosomal RNA". It matches the Rfam family "Bacterial small subunit ribosomal RNA", at positions 524 to 776 of the family's 1533-position model. The record is from RNAcentral.
UACGUAGGGUGCAAGCGUUGUCCGGAAUUAUUGGGCGUAAAGAGCUCGUAGGCGGUUUGUCGCGUCUGCUGUGAAAACCCGAGGCUCAACCUCGGGCCUGCAGUGGGUACGGGCAGACUAGAGUGCGGUAGGGGAGAUUGGAAUUCCUGGUGUAGCGGUGGAAUGCGCAGAUAUCAGGAGGAAUACCAAUGGCGAAGGCAGAUCUCUGGGCCGUAACUGACGCUGAGGAGCGAAAGCAUGGGGAGCGAACAGG